RNAcentral lists this ribosomal RNA (503 nucleotides) under uncultured bacterium. RNAcentral's name for it is "partial 16S ribosomal RNA". It matches the Rfam family "Bacterial small subunit ribosomal RNA", at positions 30 to 523 of the family's 1533-position model. The record is from RNAcentral.
AUUGAACGCUGGCGGCAGGCUUUACACAUGCAAGUCGAGCGGGGUGAUGGUGCUUGCACUAUCACUUAGCGGCGGACGGGUGAGUAAUGCUUAGGAAUCUGCCUAUUAGUGGGGGACAACAUCUCGAAAGGGAUGCUAAUACCGCAUACGUCCUACGGGAGAAAGCAGGGGAUCACUUGUGACCUUGCGCUAAUAGAUGAGCCUAAGUCGGAUUAGUUAGUUGGUGGGGUAAAGGCCUACCAAGGCGACGAACUGUAGCGGGUUUGAGAGGAUGAUCCGCCACACUGGGACGGGGGCACGGCCCAGACUCCUACGGGGGGCAGCAGUGGGGAAUAUUGGACAAUGGGGGGAACCCUGAUCCAGCCAUGCCGCGUGUGUGAAGAAGGCCUUAUGGUUGUAAAGCACUUUAAGCGAGGAGGAGGCUCUUUUGGUUAAUACCCAAGAUGAGUGGACGUUACUCGCAGAAUAAGCACCGGCUAACUCUGUGCCAGCAGCCGCCGUAA